This 464-nucleotide ribosomal RNA is filed under the name uncultured bacterium. RNAcentral describes it as "partial 16S ribosomal RNA". It matches the Rfam family "Bacterial small subunit ribosomal RNA", at positions 28 to 507 of the family's 1533-position model. The record is from RNAcentral.
GACGAACGCUGGCGGCGUGCUUAACACAUGCAAGUCGAACGAUGAAGCCAGCUUGCUGGUGGAUUAGUGGCGAACGGGUGAGUAACACGUGGGUGAUCUGCCCCAAACUUUGGGAUAAGCCUGGGAAACUGGGUCUAAUACCGAAUAUGACCGAUACUCGCAUGGGUGCUGGUGGAAAGCUCCGGCGGUUUGGGAUGGGCCCGCGGCCUAUCAGCUUGUUGGUGGGGUAAUGGCCUACCAAGGCGACGACGGGUAGCCGGCCUGAGAGGGCGACCGGCCACACUGGGACUGAGACACGGCCCAGACUCCUACGGGAGGCAGCAGUGGGGAAUAUUGCACAAUGGGCGCAAGCCUGAUGCAGCGACGCCGCGUGAGGGAUGACGGCCUUCGGGUUGUAAACCUCUUUCACCAGGGACGAAGCGAAAGUGACGGUACCUGGAGAAGAAGCACCGGCCAACUACGUG